Molecule: long non-coding RNA, 1608 nt
Organism: Cyprinus carpio carpio
Lineage: Eukaryota; Metazoa; Chordata; Actinopteri; Cypriniformes; Cyprinidae
Source: Ensembl
UUUAUUUUGUUUAUUUUCUUCAAAAAUGUAAAUUUCAUGUUAAAAAUGUUUAAGAAAUGUUUAUGUGUGUUAAAAAUUUAGUAAGUUAAAACUAAUUUACCCGGAAGAGAGAUCCAAUCAGGAGUCAGGGUGAGAGGUCGUGAGGGGGGAGAGAGGAGAACGGGAGGAGAAGAUGGAGAGACAUGAGUGAGAAUCGCGCUGUGACUGUCACGUUAGAAAUUUGGUAAAACACCAAGUUAAUGUUGGUGAUAGUAGAUGUACUUGUAGCCUGCACGAAGAGUGAGUUACAGACAUUUGACUGUUUACAGCGUGAAAGUUGAUGGUUUUGAGGAACUCGGUCAUCGGUUUCCACGAGGAGAAAGAGUGAACUGCUAGUCAGCACGAUUUAGUUACAAGGACUUUGCCAGCUAGUAGCCUGUCCGGUUGCCCUUUUGUGCAUCGUCUGAAAAAUGCACUUAUCUCCAGAACCAUUCCCUGCUUAGCUGUCGGACGACGUCUUCAAUCACCAGCAUCGCAAGCAUCGCGUUGCCGCGGCGUGAACGACGACACGCCUAUCAGCACUACCACAGCAGUGAUGAGUUUUUUUUUCUGCGCCACGGCGCGAAGUGGCCAUUGUGUUUAAGGUCUCCCCGCUCCCAAGCCACGCUUCAGGCCUGCAACGUGUUCUCUUAUGACUGUUGGGGUAUUCAUUUUAUUUCAUUAAGUGGGCAUUUAGUCAUGUUGCCGGCUUAGUUUUAAUUUUGGGGUUAUUUAAUUGUGUUUCAUUUGAAUUGCACUUGAUAUUUGAACUGUAUAUAUGUACAUACUAUGUUUUUUCAGUAAAUAGUUCAAACGAAUUUCUGUUGAAGAUUUGCAUUACAUUGGGUUUAUGACAUUUAUAAUUUUGAUACUUAAGGCAAGAAACUGAGUUUACAGUAGACUGGGUUAAAGUGAAAGUAUUUAUCACUAUUGAUUAAGAUAAGUGACCUGUGAAUUGAUGUUUAUUUCAUUUACAGUAUUGAUAGGCAUUUAAAACGGGUGGAAUAUUAAUGUAACUAUAAAAGUUAAUGUUUAUUUAACUCAGAACUUGAGAUAGCUGUAUACAAUUAGUGUUUUACUUUAAUUUUGCUAUAAAGACACUGUAUCCCCCUUUCUUAAGUCAAAAGCUGCUAUUAAGGUAAACAGUAACAAGCAAGUAAUAAUUAGGGAAUUACAUUUAGCGCAUUAAUUAAUUUAGAGAGAGAUCUUUUGAUAAAUAGGAAUUCGGGGAGCGCACUCCACACUAAUAGCUAUUCAUGCUAGGGGGCGCUACAGUAUAAUAGAAACAUCAACAGAGAUGUUCACAUGUUUCUGAUUCUUCUGUACUGUAAGUCUCUCUGAUUCUAUUUAAUACCAUUGAGUAUUUUGCACCUGUGCUCUUGGAGUCAUCUCUGCAGGACGCCCACUCUUGGGAUGAAUAGCAACAGUGCUGAAUAUUCUCCAUUUAUAGACAGUUUAUCUUACCAUGAAAAGAUAUUUGUAGGCGUGUAUAUUUGUAACUAUUAGGGCAGGCAUGGCUAGAGAGUCUGACUUUUAACCCAAAGGUUGCGGGUUCGAGUCUCAGGUCCAGCAGGAAUUGUGGGUGGGGAG